CCUACGGGUGGCAGCAGUGAGGAAUAUUGGUCAAUGGACGAGAGUCUGAACCAGCAAAGUAGCGUGAAGGAUGACUGCCCUAUGGGUUGUAAACUUCUUUUAUAAAGGAAUAAAACGAGGCACGUAUGCCUUUUUGCAUGUACUUUAUGAAUAAGGAUCGGCUAACUACGUGCCAGCAGCCGCGGUAAUACGGAGGAUCCGAGCGUUAUCCGGAUUUAUUGGGUUUAAAGGGAGCGUAGAUGGGUUGUUAAGUCAGUUGUGAAAGUUUGCGGCUCAACCGUAAAAUUGCAAUUGAUACUGGCAGUCUUGAGUACAGUUGAGGUAGGCGGAAUUCGUGGUGUAGCGGUGAAAUGCUUAGAUAUCACGAAGAACCCCGAUUGCGAAGGCAGUUCACUGGACUGCAACUGACACUGAGGCUCGAAAGUGUGGGUAUCAAACAGGAUUAGAUACCCGAGUAGUC
This 460-nucleotide ribosomal RNA is filed under the name uncultured bacterium. Its description in RNAcentral is "partial 16S ribosomal RNA". It matches the Rfam family "Bacterial small subunit ribosomal RNA", at positions 338 to 795 of the family's 1533-position model. The record is from RNAcentral.